This 422-nucleotide ribosomal RNA is filed under the name uncultured prokaryote. RNAcentral's name for it is "bacterial SSU rRNA". It matches the Rfam family "Bacterial small subunit ribosomal RNA", at positions 338 to 774 of the family's 1533-position model. The record is from RNAcentral.
CCUACGGGAGGCUGCAAUUAGGAAUAUUACACAAUGGGGGCAACCCUGAUGUAGCGACACAGCGUGGAGGAAGAAGGUUCUCGGAUCGUAAACUCCUUUUAUAUGGGACGAAUAGAUGACGGUACCAUAUGAAUACGUACCUGCUAACUACGUGCCAGAAGCAUCGGUGAUGCGUAGGGUACAAACGUUAUCAGGAUUUAUUGGGCGUAAAGAGAAGCGUAGGCGUUUUUGUAAGUCUGGAGUUAAAGACCACGGCUCAACCGUGGAAGAGCUUUCGAUACUGCAAGAAUUGAGACAGGAAUGGGCGAAUGGAAUUCCGAGUGGAGCGGUGAAAUGCGUUGAUAUUCGGAGGAACAUCAGUGGCGAAGGCGAUUCGCUGGUCCUUGUCUGACGCUAAGGCUCGAAAGCGUGGGUAGCAAAAC